Molecule: ribosomal RNA, 354 nt
Filed under: Triticum aestivum (bread wheat)
Lineage: Eukaryota; Viridiplantae; Streptophyta; Magnoliopsida; Poales; Poaceae
Description: partial small subunit ribosomal RNA
Source: RNAcentral
UCUGGGCUAAAAAUAAACUUUCAUAAGAGUGAGUUGAUGUUGUUUGGUAAGGCUAAAAGAAAACAAUUACUCUACCAAGAAAUACUAACAUGUAAAAUGGGAGAUCUACCCAUUAGGUAUUUAGGAAUGCCUGUAUCUGAUUCCAGGAUCAGGAGCACACAUUGGAGUUGUGUGACAGACAAAAUUGAGAAAAGAUGUGGAUGUUGGCAGGGGAAAUUGUUGGGAUCUAUUGCUGGCAGGAUCACCCUGGUACAAGCUUGCCUGACUAAUAUUCCUUUGUUUAUGAUGUCCUUCUAUGCUGUUCCAAAAGGAAUCAUUAAAAAAGCUAAUUUUUUCAGGGCAAGACUGGUAUGG